GCAGUGUCCUAAAGAUCAUGCAAGGCCUAAGAUAAACAAGAAUCCAAUAAAUCCACAAUUAAUUUCGUAAUUCAAAUAGAUAAAUCCAACAUGACCAAAUAAUCAAAUUGGUUCAUUUACAAAAGCUUUCAAUAUUCAUUAAUAUCAAGAUAGACUAAGUAACUAAUGACUCUCAUACUCGCACUCUGCGCUCAUCCCAUCCAUGUCUAUGCAUCCUGCAACUCUGAAAAAAAGAAAGAAGAAGAGGGGAUGAGCUUUACAGCCAAGUAAGAAUCCCUACACAUCCAUAGCAACACAAUAAUAAUAUGAAUUUGAAAGCCACGACAAAUCGAUGCACAUUUCAUGAAAUCAUAAACCGGCUAUCAAAAGGCUCAAAUAAUCAAUAUAAGUAUGUACGUCAAAUACCAAUGAAAGUCUAACCACGCAAGAAUGAUAUAGCAUACGAUAGCUCAUAAAUCUUCAUUAAUGUUU
This 471-nucleotide long non-coding RNA is filed under the name Phoenix dactylifera (date palm). Its description in RNAcentral is "long non-coding RNA (PDAC_LNC017698)". The record is from RNAcentral. Lineage: Eukaryota; Viridiplantae; Streptophyta; Magnoliopsida; Arecales; Arecaceae.